AGCAGCCGCGGUAAUUCCAGCUCCAAUAGCGCAUAUUAAAGUUGUUGCAGUUAAAAGCUCGUAGUUGAAUUUUAGUCCUGGCCGGGCGGUCCGUCUUUGGCGAGUACUGUCCUGUGUCGGGUCUUCCUUCUGGUGAACCAGUAUGUCCUUUAUUGGGUGUGCCGGGGAGCCAGGACCAUUACCUUGAAAAAUUAGAGUGUUUAAAGCGGGCAUUUGCUUGAAUAGAUUAGCAUGGAAUAAUAGAAUAGGACGUUGUGGUUCUAUUUUGUUGGUUUCUAGGACCACCGUAAUGAUUAAUAGGGAUAGUUGGGGGCAUUAGUAUUCAAUUGUCAGAGGUGAAAUUCUUGGAUUUAUUGAAGACUAACUACUGCGAAAGCAUUUGUCAAGGAUGUUUUCAUUAAUCAAGAACGAAAGUUAGGGAUCGAAGACGAUCAGAUACCGUCGUAGUCUUAACCAUAAACUAUGCCGACUAGGAAUCGGGCGACGUUAUUUUCAUGACUCGCUUCGGCGCCUUAGUGGG
This 520-nucleotide ribosomal RNA is filed under the name uncultured Archaeospora. RNAcentral's name for it is "SSU rRNA". It matches the Rfam family "Eukaryotic small subunit ribosomal RNA", at positions 569 to 1095 of the family's 1831-position model. Lineage: Eukaryota; Fungi; Glomeromycota; Glomeromycetes; Archaeosporales; Archaeosporaceae. The record is from RNAcentral.